CCUACGGGGGGCAGCAGUGGGGAAUAUUGGACAAUGGGGGAAACCCUGAUCCAGCGACGCCGCGUGAGUGAAGAAGUAUUUCGGUACGUAAAGCUCUAUCAGCAGGAAAGAAAAUGACGGUACCUGACUAAGAAUCCCUGGCUAAAUACGUGCCAGCAGCCGCGGUAAUACGCAGGGGGCAAGCGUUAUCCGGAUUUACUGGGUGUAAAGGGAGCGUAGACGGCAGCGCAAGUCUGGAGUGAAAUGCCGGGGCCCAACCCCGGAACUGCACUGGAAACUGUGAAGCUGGAGUGCAGGGGAGGUAAGCGGAAUUCGUGGUGUAGCGGUGAAAUGCGUAGAUAUCAGGAAGAACACCGACGGCGAAGGCGGCUUACUGAACUGUAACUGACGUUGAGGCUCGAAGGCGUGGGGAGCAAACAGGAUUAGAUACCCGUGUAGUA
Molecule: ribosomal RNA, 440 nt
Filed under: uncultured bacterium
Lineage: Bacteria
Description: partial 16S ribosomal RNA
Rfam family: Bacterial small subunit ribosomal RNA
Source: RNAcentral